Molecule: non-coding RNA, 30 nt
Filed under: Macaca fascicularis (crab-eating macaque)
Lineage: Eukaryota; Metazoa; Chordata; Mammalia; Primates; Cercopithecidae
Also listed under: 1 other name
Source: RNAcentral
UGACCUUGAGCAAUGUUUCUUAGCCAUGUU